Molecule: long non-coding RNA, 4487 nt
Filed under: Selaginella moellendorffii
Lineage: Eukaryota; Viridiplantae; Streptophyta; Lycopodiopsida; Selaginellales; Selaginellaceae
Description: long non-coding RNA (SMOE_LNC001186)
Source: RNAcentral
UGGCCGCUGCUGGCGGUGGCCACUGGAUCGAUCUACUGGAAGCGCGGCAUCAAGCUCACGCCGCUCACCCCGGCGCUCGCCGCGACCUACAUCGCACUGGGAUUUCUUGGAGCCCUAGAUAAUUUCAUGUAUGCCUAUGGCCUGGCAUACCUCCCGGCCUCCACGAAUGGCCUCCUCUCCUCCAGCCAGCUCGCAUUCAAUGCGAUCUUCGCGCUGAUCAUCACGCGCCAGAGGAUCAAUCCCUUCGGGUGGAACGCGAUCGUGCUGGUGAGCAGCGCCGCCAUGAUCUUGGCGCUUCACUCCGACGAUGAGAAGCUCCCGGGCGUGACGAGGAAGGAGGUCGUCCUGGGCUACGUGAUGACGAUCGGCGCCGCGGCGCUGUUUGGAUUGCUCUACCCUCUCAUCGAGCUUGCAAUCCGGAAAUUUCUCACCAGAUCGAGCGACGGCGGCGCCGCCGCCGUCGUGUUGGAGAUGCAAACCCUGCUCUCGCUCAUCUCCACCGCGGUGGCCAGCGUCGCCAUGGCGAUCAACCACGAUUUCCUGGCGAUCCCGGGCGAGUCGCGGCGAUUCAAGGCCGGCGCUGCGAGCUACUACCUCACGCUCGUCUCCACCGCCGUGUCGUGGCAAUUCGCAUUCUUGGGAACGCUGGGGAUAAUCUUCCUCUCCUCGUCGCUGCUCGCGGGCGUGAUUUUGGCGCUCGCGAUUCCCAUCGGCUCCAUAUUCGCGGUCAUCUUCUUUGGCGAUAGCUUCGGCGGCGUCAAGAUCAUGUCCAUGCUGCUCUCGCUCUGGGGAUUUGUGUCUUACACCUUUGGCGGAUACGUGGACAUGAAGAAGGCUUCCAAGUUGGAGCCCUAAAAUAAAGAAUAUUUUAGUUUUCGUCUUCUACCAAAGGAAAAAAAUUAAGGAUAAAUAUUCAUUAGACCCCUAAAGAACACAUCUUAAAUCCAUACCAACACCAGCUUUUUGUCAAAUCUAACACUGUGUUUGCCACAUUUUCGAUUUAGGUUAGAAGCUUUUCGUUAUGUUCACAUAACAACAUUACUCUUGCAGCUGCGUCACAUGAGUUGGUUAGGAUUUUAUACUUCAUGUAAGUGUUAUAAACAAGAUCUAGGUGCUGAUUAAAUCCUUGAUGUACUGCUCCAACUUCUGUAGGAUGAGCGCCAAAAUCACUCUUGCAAGCAAUGACAAGGAGAGGAAGAUUAUCCACCAGCCUUCUCAAGAAAGCGAAUUGACACGACAUGGUGGUCAUGAGGUAGUAGUUUGCAGCACAAUCCCUUCAUCCAUCCCUUCUCUCAUCCCAUGAUGAGUAAUUUUUAAAAAUAUAUAUAUAUAUAAAUAAAUAAACCCAAAAAAGCUAUUUGUCUUUUUUUCUUGGCCAUCAUUAGAUGUUUUCCUAUUUAUUUAGCUCUCCAGACUGUGGCAUAUUAGUUAACUAAUUAGUUGCUGACUUAGUGUUCUCUAGAGAUAGUCAAAUUGAACCCUGAGCUCUGACCUUCACCUUGGUCUGCCACCAAACGGCAAAGACAAUCAUCUAGGCAACCUAUUUAAAUCCUUUGGUUUCAUGGGUUGUAACGAGACCAUGUAAACAGAAUAUAAAUGAAUGAAUGAAUGAAAUAUGUUAGACUUGGUGGUGGUCCUAUAUUUAUUCACCCUCACUGGCAACUAUUGCUUUAUCAUACAACUUUUGCUUUUCUUUUUCUUGCUCCUUUCUUUUAUUCCUUCAUUAUACUUGCUGCAUGCUCCAUAUUUGUAUAUUAAUUUCUAAGUAUACCAGCAUACGAUCAGUCUUUUCUAUUUCUAUCUAUAUGUUCUUCCUAGCUUUUUGUCAAAUCUAAGAUUUUACCUAUCACUGUGUUUACAUUUGCUCUUCCAUUUUAAUCCUCAUUUCUUAUACCAUGCCACACUGUCAUUCUCGAUUUAGGUUAGAAGCUCUAAGUGCUACUUCGUUGUGUUCACAUAGCAACACACUUUUGCAGCUGCAUCACAUGAGUAUAUAUUUGUUUGGAUUUUACACUUCAUGUAAGUAUUACAAACAAGAUCUAAAACAAUAUAUAACAUGUUAUGUAAUUGUAUUGGUACUGCUAAAAUCCUUGGUGUAUUGCCAUUUUCAACUUCUAUAAGGUGUGAUUACAAUGUUGCUUCUCUUAUCCUCAUAACAAGGAAUUCAGAGAUGAAUUGAAAAUAUCAGAAUGUAAUGGUGCCAUUCUUUAAAUUUGAUGUUUAACUUCCUUUUUUUUUUCUUUCUAAUCUUAUAUUUUUUCUUGGUCUUUACCACACCUUGUGCUACCAUAGGGCUUUAUCUUCAUUUACAACCAUUUCUUUUUUCUCAUGAUCUUUCUUAUGAUUGCAUGGUUUCACAAAGGUUCUGGGCAGCUCAAGAACAAGAGAGUUUAGGAUAAAAGUGUUGCCUUUGUUCUUAGUGAUCUUAUGCCUCUAGAUGGGUGCUAUAAACCCCCAAAACAUGAUAGGUGUUAACAGAUCCCAAUUAUUUCUUGCACAUUGAUCACUAAUGACUUUUAGUGACUUGUUUUGUCCCAUUCCCCUGUUUUAAUCGUUUAGAGUGUGAAUGUCACUAAGAAUUUUUUUCUUACUGUUUUUCAAUUUCAUUCUCUUGAGAGAAUGAUCCCAUUUUCACAUGCUUUUUUCCUCAAUUUUUCUUCUUUUCCAUGAUUCUUUCUUUAGAAAAUGGAUGGAUGAAUAAGAGUCUAGCCAUAAUGAUAGAGUGAAAAUAAGGAUGAAUAAUUAGGAUUGUGGUGUAAAGACUGUGAUCAAGGGGCUGGAGGAUUGACAAGGCAUGCAGACUCUUCAAGGGGCACUCCAAAAGUCAAAGGUCAAGAAGCUGUUUGCAAUUGCAUACACCUACUGCAAUGAUCUGAUAUCAUUGAUCUGAUAUGAUCUGCAGCGAUACUUAGUUUAACCACUUUUAAUAUCCUAGGAAUUUAUCAUAAAUACAAUGCAAACCAUUUUUAAGUCAAUUAGAAAACUUCUGGUAAGCUAAAUUAUCAUUCUAGUCAUGAAUUAAAUGUAAGUGGGCCUUUAAGAGAUUUCCACUAGUCAUUUAUAUAUCUUUAAGACAAAAUGAUUUGGAGAAAGAAUAAGCAAGUAGAACUAGAAAUGAAGAAACACUUGAGCACACAGAGAGACUACCAAAGAGAACUUAAGUGGAUAGAAUACAAUGCCUCAAACACAUGAGGUGACGUCAACUUUCUCUCCCAAUCCAUGUAUUUUUCAUUGCAAAUGUUGACAAGUAUGUAACAGCAUGCACGACAUGAUAAAAUUACAAGUUUCUGUUAACUCUAUGAUUUGCUAUUGUUGAACAACAACAUUUUCAGCUAGAUUAUACUUAAUUCGAAGCUUACACAUCCCCAAAAUGUAAUUUAAAUAAUAACUAUAAAUUAAUACCAAGUGUGCAGCAAAUUAUUACUAGACAUAAUGAAGGAAUAAAAGGAGGAGCAAUAAGCAGAAAGAAAAAGCAAAAGUGUAUGAUAAAGCAACGGUUGCUAAUUAGGGUGAAUAAGUAUAAGACUACCACCAAGUCUAACAUUUCUUGUGCCAAGCCGCAAAGACAGCACCUAACUAAUUAAUUAUGAACUCCUUAAUGUAGAGAACCAUGCCACGGUCUGGAGAGCUAAGUAAUGCCACCUAAUCUCGAUUUGCCCAUUGUAGAGGUGGUGUUUUUGCAGAUGUGCUGGCAGUCGAAGAAGAUUAGGAAAACAUGGUGGUGGGUACUACAUGACCAUAUCUAAUAAUAGUGGCUGGCAACUUUUCCUUUAGCAUUGAUCUUCUGGGUUCAAGUUUUGCCUCCAUCAAUCUUCUUCUUGGGAUCAAGAAUGGACAACAACACCACCGUGGACAUGUCUCUGAUCAAUAACGGCAAGAACAGCAGUAAGUAGAGAGAAAUGAGAAAGAAGCAAAAUGAAGGAACAGAAAAAAAUCUUUGCUCGAUCCAAAUCUCUAAUUACCUUUUGUUCAUCCACAGCAGCUGCGGCUCCACCCGCGAGCAAAAUCUUUCACCACGACUCAAGAUUUCGGCAAUUCCUCGUCUCCAAGCCCCUCGAGGCCCUGCGAUCCAAACCCCGGCUCCACUGGCUGCUCCUCUCGCUCAGCAUUCUUUCGAUGAUGAUCGGGACGGUCGUCGGGCAGCUGCUCACGCGAUUCUACUUCGCGGCCGGGGGAUCGCGCAAGUGGCUCUCGACAUGGCUCCAAACGUCGGGAUGGCCGCUGCUGGCAGUGGCGACUGGAUCGAUCUACUGGAAGCGCGGCAUCAAGCUCACGCCGCUCACACCGGCGCUCGCUGCAACUUACACCGCACUGGGAUUUCUUGUGGCUCUAUAUAGUUUCAUGUAUGCCUAUGGCCUGUCCUACCUCCCGGCCUCCACCAGCGGCCUCCUCUCCUCCAGCCAGCUCGCAUUCAACGCGAUCUUCGCGCUGAUCAUCACGCGGCAGAAGAUCAAUCCCUUUGGAUGGAACGCGAUCGUGCUGGUGAC